Molecule: small RNA, 1116 nt
Filed under: Pongo abelii (Sumatran orangutan)
Lineage: Eukaryota; Metazoa; Chordata; Mammalia; Primates; Hominidae
Description: processed transcript
Source: RNAcentral
AUCUUCAGUGUUGUGAGCCCUUAAAAGGGACAGAAAUUGUGCAUUCCGGGAGCUGGGAUUUUAAGGCAGUAGCUUGCCAAUGCUCCCAGCUGAAUAAAGCCCUUCCUUCUACAACUCGGUGUCUGAGAGGUUUUCUCUGCGGCUCGUCCUGCUACAUUUCUUCAUUCCCUGACUGGGAAAUGAGGUAACUGACAGACAGCCAAGGCAGCCCCUUAGGCAGCUUAGGCCUCCCCUGUGGAGCAUCCCUGCCGGGGACUCUGGCCAGCCUGAGUGACGCGAUCCAAAGAGCACUCCGUGUAGGAAAUUGCCCUGGUGGAAUGCCUCACCAGAGCAGUGCGUAGCAGGCCCCUGCAGAGGAUUAACACAGUGGCUGAACACCGGGAAGGAACUGGCACUUGGAGUCUGGACAUCUGAAACUUGACAACAUCACCGCCCUGAAGCCAGAGACUAACACUGCGGGACUCAGCAGGACUCUUUAAGAAACAACUGAGGCAUCAGACCAACUUUCCCCACAAGUCCUCGGAUCUUUCCUGCCAUGCUGAUGCCAUAUAUUCCAACGUGAUCAACCUGGCCCCCCAGAAGGAGGACGACUUUGCUGUCUACGCCAAUAUGCCCCCUUUUCAUCACCCCAGGAGGACAUCGCCAGACCAAGUGGAAUAUGCCUCCACUGUAUUCCACUGAUGGGAAGCUAAUGAGAUGCACAGAGUGGAGGUCAGACCUGGCCCCAGCUGAAUCUUGGCAUACCCUUUGCCUUAGAUUUAUGUGUGUGUUUAAAAAAAAAAAUACAUAGGCCAGGCACGGUGGCUCACACCUGUAUCCCAGCACUUUGGGAGGCUGAGGCAGGCAGAUCACCAGGUCAAGAUAUCAAGACCAUCCUGGCCAACAUGGUGAAACCCCGUCUCUACUAAAGAUACAGAAAAUAGCCAGUCGUGGUGGUGCAUGCCUGUAAUCCCAGCUACUUGGAAGGCUGAGGCAGGAGAAUCACUUGAACCCAGGGGGCGGAAGUUGCAGUGAGCCAAGAUCACACCGCUGCACUCCAGCCUGGUGACAGAGUAAGACUCCAUCUCUAAAAAAAAUAAAUAAAUAAAAAUAAAAUGUAAAACAUAUUCUGAUGGA